GUGGAGGUAAGGCUUUUUUUUUUGCUUAAUGCACUUGUUAGAGUUUUAGUGAGUUAAUGUCAAAACAACAAAUGGGCGAAUGUUUCACAUAUGUAUGUUACUUACAGAGUGUUUUUUUUCUAUCUAGUGCUAGCUGAUAUCAGCUGACUGGAUGCUGGCUGUCGGUUGAUUAUCGGCUAUGUAGCCUAGCCAAUUUAUGGUGGCUAUUGAAAAGUAAAAGAACGGAAUAAUUUGAAGACCGCUCCAUCUAGCUCCCUCCACAGCCAGACACAGCAACGAUCCUCCAGCUCCAUUCAGGCCGUGAAGGUGGACAGCUUUCUCUGAGCUGCUUUGGCCGUUUGCUGUUUGCUCAGCCUCCUGUUCCUCUCACGGAUUUCCCCCCCGAGCCUGCACAUCACAAAUUUUUUUAUUGCUAUUGUCUCCAAUAGAAUUGCAUGCUCAGGGUGUGAGCUGAAGAGGCUUUUGAACACCCCCAGACUGCCCAGAGCCCUCUCCAUUUUUUUGGUGAUCUGGGUGAGAGGCCAGAAAGCGUCGAUGUUCCGUCCAAAUUCCCUCUCCAAAAGCUGGAUGGCAGCGAAAAACCCUUCCGAAGGCCUCAUUAGGUUUGCCGUUGCCGUGUAUUUUUUUGCCUCCAGGAAGGGGUGGUCCUCACUUGUGGCGUAGCUGUGGUCCUGAUGUCUGGCACCCAACAACAGCACCUCACAGUGUGGACAGGCCUGAACAAUUUCCUCCUUUUGAAGGACCCGGACAAGCCAGCCAGCAACGUAGAACAGGCCCUCCUCCUGGAUGCAAUCGCCAACAGUCUACAAGGUGGUAGGGAGGGCCAUUGAGGUCAUUGGAGCUGUUGAGGUGGAGGGGAUUGCGUCCUCUGACAUACUGGCUAGGAGGGUUGUCCCGUCAUCCAGCUCGCAGUUUGAUGCAGUCGAUGCAGAAAGAGCAGAAGGUGAGGGACAUCAAAAAUCACAGGAACCCUCUGAACCCCCACCAGGAUACAGUGGGACUCCUCACCUCCCAGAGGGUCCAGGCUAGCCCCAAGGUUCCGCACAGCCUUCACAUUAGGGCUUCCCUGGUCACAUAUUACUGCCUGCACCUUUGAAAUUGGUUAAUACAUUGUUGUCAAUACAAGGUUGGAGUUAAUGUUCAUUUGUUCAUUGUUAAUGCUGCUAUUUAAAAAAUAAAUAAUAAUACAACUCUUCGCACUACAUACUGUCAGCCCUAUAUGAUGUAGGUGGCGAAUGGCAUCCUUAAUGACGGUAGCAAUAUCAUCUGCUGGCAUUGAAGAUGGGGAAAAGAAGUAACCAACCGUCUGUUGAAAGAAAUGCCUUAGGACGAGCGUACACAUCCUCUCCACAGGGGUCAUGGUGGCGGCGAUGACUCCCAUUUGGGAGAUGAUUCCCUGUAGGAAGCCAGGCUGUCAGGAAAUAAAAGUUGUGCCCUAAUGAAGUUACGGCAGCCCUCAGGACACCUCUGGAGCAUCUCCUCCAUAAUUUCAUGGGGACUACGAAAGAACAAGAGGUGGGGAGGCAAGUGGUGGCGGGUUGUCGCAAUCCACCAGUGUGGGGAUGGCAUCUCUGUUGGAUCUUGAUGCUGUGGCAACGGACAAGUCUUCUUCCUCUUUUAUUAUAUUGUUGUUCCUCUGUCCUUUUUUCCCUGCCUAUGUUCAGUUCUCUUUUUUUUUUCUAAAUGAUUUACUAUGUUACUGUUCUUAUUGUGUUCUUGUGUGAUGUUUGAAUAAACUUGCCUGUUGCAAUGUUGGUAUGUUUGUAUAAUUACUGUUAUACAACUGUUACUGUUUCAACGUGUCCUAGACCAUACUUCUCAUUUAACAAACAUGUGUAGCUUAUAAUGUGUUGCAGGGCAGAGCAAUUAUAUUCAAUGGCUUAAAACAAACCCAUCUGUAAAGAUCACUGAAUGCAUAGAAAUCAAUGACAAGUGGUGUAGAUGGUUUUCCCUCUGUGCAAGGUCAUUAGC
Gadus macrocephalus (Pacific cod) is the source of this 1971-nucleotide long non-coding RNA. RefSeq lists it as uncharacterized. The transcript has 8 exons. The record is from RefSeq and is a predicted model, not a curated record. Lineage: Eukaryota; Metazoa; Chordata; Actinopteri; Gadiformes; Gadidae.